Cyanistes caeruleus (blue tit) is the source of this 5177-nucleotide non-coding RNA. The record is from RefSeq and is a predicted model, not a curated record. NCBI's taxonomy places the organism in Eukaryota, Metazoa, Chordata, Aves, Passeriformes, Paridae.
AGCCUUGAGGGACGCUAGCCGCGACUUGAGAGAUUCCGGGAGGAGGAUGCUGGGGGGUACGGGACUAUCCCAGACUCGGGGGGUGCUGGGUGGAUACGAGGGUACGGAAUACAUCGACUUGGGGAGUCCUGGGGGGAGCAUGCUGGGGUUCCCAUGGCCAGCUGGGAGGAUGCUGAGAGGACGGGACCAUCCCAGGCUCAGGGAAUUCUGGGAGAACCACCCGAAGCUCAUGGGGAGCAUCCCUGGGUGCCCAGCAUUGAGCUCCAUUUUUGCCUGCAGAGCUCCUGGGACGCCCUGCCUGGAUCCUUCUGCUCUGCUGGAGCCUGGCUGCUUGCUGCACAGGUGCCAUGGCCUUGCAGCCACCCCGUAUCACCAUCUUGCGGAUGCCAGCAGAGCUCCCCCUCCCAGGCGAGAGCGUGACUGUGUCGUGCGAGGCGUUGAGUGGGCUUCCAGAGUCGACGCUGCUUUACUGGCUGGAGAACGGCUUCUUUGUGGAGAGCCUGCACCCGGAUGGGGCUGUGCGUGAGGGGACAGUGCAAGAGGAGCUGCAGGCCUCGGGGCUGGCCCUGCACCGUGAUCUGCACUUCAGUUCCUUCAACAAGCAGUACCUGCACACCAACUUCACCUGCGUGGUGCUCAGUCCCCUCGGUGUCGACACCAGGGAGGUGCGAUGGCCAUCGCCAGCACUGGCCCCCAUCACUGGGAAGAGUGAGGGCCUGGGCUGAGAUGGAGGAGCAACUCCAGUGCUGGGUGCUGAGUGAGCAGCCUGCAGUGCAGCUCCCUGCUCUGACAGCCCCACACCCACCACUGCAUGCACAUGAGACACCUCCAGGGAGGCCCGUCUCUGUGACGCCUCUGCUUUGGGGACUGCAUGGCCCCACAUAUGCUGGCCCCACUGUGAGUGGGGCUCCUGGUGCCCCAAGCCGAGUCAGGAGCGCUGCCUGGGCUGAAACCAGCCCUGCCCAUAGCUGGCUUUGGGACCCUAGAGUUUAUUAAAGUACAUCAAGGUUUCCCAGUGUCACCUGCAUCCCGGUGAUGGUGCUGCCCAGGGGUGUAGAGGGCACAUGUGGGGGAGGGAGAUAAGGUAGCCAUGGGGUCCAUGAAGUGUAGGAUCCAUUCCUGACCCCCUUCCUGCCUAGUGAAGGGCUAGAGAGCCACAGUACUCCCAGUUAUGCUCAGGGAACACCUGGCACAACAGCUGUGCCCUGUCCUGGAGGAGAGUGUGGGUGGAGAAGCCCUGGAGUGCAGGCACCCCAGAAGAUGGGCCCACCACAUCCCUCUCUGCACCUGGGGGGGGUUGGGACUCUUCCUCAGCAUGGCAUUGCUGCUCCGUGGGGCAACCCCUGUAACCAUCCUGUGCUGGCAGGAUACCACCUGCUCUUUAUUGCCAGGCCCCUUCUUGCUCCCUCAGGUGCUUGUGGGGGGUGUGACCCCCUGGACUGUGGGACAGGCUGGGGAACAAAUCCCAAACCCUUUGAGCAACCCCUGGGCUAUGGGCAUCACACUUCAGGAUGCUCAGAAUGUGGGAGGGAUAGGGAUGGGGGUGGGGGGGAGUGGAGAAGUCUCCAGGUGCACGCCCCAUGAGCUGCCCUCAGCCCAGGGAGCCACAGGAGCCCCCUGGGGACACCCCAGUCCCACAGUGACUCUUAAGAGCUAGGGGAAGGCAAGCAGUGGAGCAGCCACCUGGGCAGGGACCUGCACCCCCUAGCCUUGUUAAUUCCAGACUCCAUUCCUGGGAGAGCCUCUCACAGACCCCACACACAGCUGCAUCCUGACACCACAGCUGCCACUCAGCAAAGGCCUCUGUCACGCUCAGCCAAUGUCCUGGGGGCAGUGACACUACGGCCAGGCUGAGCACAGAUACCUGCCGUGCAGGACCCUGUGCGGGUAUCUCCGUGUCCCUCAUCCUGUCCUGCUGUUCCCCUGACGCUGGUGGCUCCAUCCCUGACCCCUUCUUCUUGCCGCAGUGUGAUGGCAGCAGCACACUUCUCACUGCACACCAUGGCACCCAGCCCUGCCAUGCCAUCUCACGCCAUGCUGCGUCAUGCUGCGGCACACUUUGCUGCCCACAGACCCUACUGCAAACCACAGGUGAGAGCUGCUCUGAGAUGUGCAAGGCUGUGUGUCCAUGGCAUGCCCUCCCCACCACCAAGAUCGAGAUCUCCCUGUCCUGGCAGACCUGGUGGGACAGGACUGUUCCCUGCCGCAAGUCCCCAUGGCCCAGCAGUGGGAGAGACUGUCUUGCAGGGACAUCACCUUUCACAAAAUCACAGUUGUAGGUGCUGAGCACCGUUGGAAACAGCUGGAAGAGGGCAAUUUCAGCAACCUCAAACAUCUGGAAAAGCAGGAUGAGGACCUCCUUGUCCUUAUGGGACAAGUCCUUGGUAGGGACACUGUAGCAGGUCUCUGACACAGUGCCAGAUUUUUCCCCAGCCAGCUCCCGGCACUGAGCCAAGAGUGGGCUGCUCCUGGGAAGCAGGGCAGAUUAGGGCUGAUGCUCUAUGGCCCUGGCUGUCCAGCAUCGAGGGCAGGAGCAAGGAAUGGGAGAGGUCUUCCAUGUGGCUUCCAAAAGGGAUUCAUUCUCUUGAAGGUUCCAGGGAUGAAAGACAAAAGAUACAGGGGUACGUGUAAGUAAGGGGGAGGAGCAAGGGGAGUGUACAAAUAAUAAACCAAUAGGGAAGACUUAGGCGAAGAGCGCAAGGCUGGGUUACACAGUACAUAAACCAGUGGGUAACACAAGGGGAGGAGAGUGGGGCACAUGGUCCAAUGGGGCUUGGAGGAAUAGGGGAAUUCCAAAGGGGACAGUCCAGGCAGGGUGUUGGCACAAGGGAGGAUUGACAACUUAAUGGGAGGGAGACCAGGGAACAUUUGGGAACAAGGGGCAGGUAUCAGGGUGGACUGGCAACCGGGGUAGGAGGGCACAACUGGAACUAAACUAUUAAUAAGGGGGAGUGGGGAUACAACUUAACAAUACAGGAGGUAAUUGAAUCAAAUAUAAUGAACAAAAAUGCACUGCAACAGGUCUCCAUCAUGAAGAUGACAUCCCAGUUGAAGGGCAGGGUGCCCGUUUUCCAGAGGGAAGUGGAGGUGGAGCAGCCAACAUGGAUGGGUUGGUGGUACUGCAAUGUUCCCAUGGACACAGUAGCAGCUAAGAAGCAGGAGCACCUCUGAAGGAAAUGUGGCCCAAGAAUAAAACCAUGCUGGAGAAGGUACACCUUGAAGCAUCUGUGGCUGUGCUGGACGUCAUGUUGGAACACCUCAAAGUGUGUGGCCAUGCAUAAACCCUCAACAGAGCAGAUAUACCCCAGGAGGCACUUCAGCCAUGCAGAAGGCCAAACUAGAGCGGAAAGCUGCAAAAUCCAAAAAGGCAUCAGGACUGAUAACCCAGUGCAUCUGUCCCAGUGCCUGCAGCGUGGACAGCAAACAGGAGAUCCUGGAAGGCAUGGUGCAGGAGGAAAACUAUGGCAUCGUUGCCAUCACAAAGACAUGGUGGGAUGACUAGCACCACUGGAAUGGUGCAAUGGAUGGUGGUGAACUCUUCAGAAGGGACAGGCAAGGAAUGAGGGGUGGUGGGGUAGUCCUGUAUGUGAAGGAGUGUUUUGACAGUCUAGAGUUUGACAGUGGUGAUGCAAGUGUCGAGGGUUGGUGGGUAAGAAUUGUGGGGAAGGCCAGCAGGGCAGAUAGCCAGGUGGUAGCUGGGUACAGAUCACCUGACCAAGUCCUCAUGAUGGCCAGCCCUUGUCUUCAUGCGGGCUUCAACACAGCAGACUUCUGCUGAAAAUACAAUCCAGUACAGAGGAGAGAGUUCAGUAGGUUCCUGGAAUGUGUGGAAGAGAUGUUUCUGACACAGCUGGUGAGGGGGCAGCUAGGGAAGGCAACUCCUGGACAUGCUGUUUGUGAGGAGAGAAGUUCUAGUGCAUGGUGGGAGGCCAUCCUGGUGACCUUAAAAGGAUAGAAUUUUUGAUUUUUGGAGCAGUAAGGGAGUCAGCAGAACUGCCACCUUGGACUCCCUGAGAGCAGACUUUGGUUGACAGAGUCUCUCAGGAGGCUGUCCUGAACAGCAAAGGAGGCCAGGAAGGCUGGACAUGCUGUAAGAAGGAAUCUUCAGGGCACAGGAGCAGGCUAUGCUAAAAGAAGAGCCAGAGGGAGAAGAACUUUGUCUGGAACUCAGAGUAAAAAGGAGAGUUUAUGACUUUUGAAAGAGACAGCAAGUCAGGAAAGCAACAAGAAUGUAAUGAGGUUAUGCAGAGAGAAAACAAGAAUAGAAGCCUAUCUGGCCACUGCUGUAAAAGACAAUAAAAUAAAUGUUUCUAUACAUACAUUAACCUAAAAAUGAGGGCUAAAGAGAAUUUCCUUUAUUGGAUGGCUGGGGAAACCCAGAGACAAAGAAUGAGGAAAAGUCUCAGGUACCUCAAAAGGUGACAGAGCAGACCAUUCUGGGUGCCAUCAUAUGGCACAUGCAGGACAACCAGGGAUCAGGCCCAGCCAGCAUGGGUUCAUGAAAGGCAAGCCCUGCUUGAUCAACCUGGCUGCUGUGACAAGAUGACCUGCUCAGGGGGUGAGUGAAAGGCUGUGGACUGUCUACCUGGGGUUUAGCAAAGCCUUGACACCAUUUCCCAUAGCUUUCUGGAGAAACUGUCUGCUCAUGGCUUGGACAUUUGCCAGGAAAAAAAAAAAUGCCUGGAUGUCCAGGCUCUGAAUGGCACCCUAACUCCUCCUGACUUUGGUAUACUGAUACUGUGUACCAGUAUCAGUCAUUCUCACAAGGAUCUGGAGCAUGUAAAGGCCAGGCAUUAUUUUUGAAAAAGCAGCAAAUAUAUUUUCAUUUGAAUCCUAGCAAAUCUUAGUCUUUGUUCCUUACAUGUGCCCUACUAGAGUGCCUUUGCUCCACAGCACGUUGCCUUGUGAUUUUUCAGGGUACUCCUACUGCAUUUCCUUGUGAAGCUGCUUAUCAGUUCUUGAAAAUAAUCUCGCUGCUUAAUCAGCACAGUUAGUCCCAGGCUAGCAGCAGAAAUUCUAGCAUUCAGUAGGUACUCUGCUGUGAAAACAGGAAUGUAAAACAUGCCACAAAGAUGGUGUUUUCCAUGCGUGGCUUUAAAGGAGAGAGGUAGAUAAGAGAGAAACAUUUAAUAGCUUGUGUUUUUAUGAAUGAGGCUGUUUCCCUUUUCAGUCACUCU